AACGAACGCUGGCGGCAGGCCUAACACAUGCAAGUCGAGCGAGGACUUCGGUUCUAGCGGCGGACGGGUGAGUAACGCGUGGGAAUGUGCCCUUCUCUACGGAAUAGCCCUGGGAAACUGGGAGUAAUACCGUAUACGCCCUAUUGGGGAAAGAUUUAUCGGUGAAGGAUCAGCCCGCGUUGGAUUAGGUAGUUGGUGGGGUAAUGGCCUACCAAGCCGACGAUCCAUAGCUGGUUUGAGAGGAUGAUCCGCCACACUGGGACUGAGACACGGCCCAGACUCCUACGGGAGGCAGCAGUGGGGAAUCUUAGACGAUGGGGGCAACCCUGAUCUAGCCAUGCCGCGUGAGUGAUGAAGGCCUUAGGGUUGUAAAGCUCUUUCAGCUGGGAAGAUAAUGACGGUACCAGCAGAAGAAGCCCCGGCUAACUCCGUG
Molecule: ribosomal RNA, 433 nt
Filed under: uncultured bacterium
Lineage: Bacteria
Description: partial 16S ribosomal RNA
Rfam family: Bacterial small subunit ribosomal RNA
Source: RNAcentral